Molecule: ribosomal RNA, 774 nt
Filed under: uncultured Neocallimastigales
Lineage: Eukaryota; Fungi; Neocallimastigomycota; Neocallimastigomycetes; Neocallimastigales
Description: partial large subunit ribosomal RNA
Rfam family: Eukaryotic large subunit ribosomal RNA
Source: RNAcentral
AGAGAGAGACAUGCGUGCAUAUCAAUAAGCGGAGGAAAAGAAACUAACUAGGAUUCCCUCAGUAACGGCGAGUGAAGCGGGAAGAGCUCAAAUUUGAAAUCUUCAAGGUUCUACCUUGACGAAUUGUAGUUUAAAGAAGUGUUUUCUGUUGGAGUUUUGGUAAAAGUUCUUUGGAAUAGGACAUCAUAGAGGGUGAGAAUCCCGUAUUUGACCAUUAUUUCCAGCUUUGUGAUACACUUUCAAAGAGUCGGAUUGUUUGGGAAUGCAGUCCAAAAUGGGUGGUAAAUUUCAUCUAAAGCUAAAUAUUGGCGAGAGACCGAUAGCGAACAAGUACCGUGAGGGAAAGAUGAAAAGAACUUUGAAAAGAGAGUUAAACAGUACGUGAAAUUGUCAAAAGGGAAGCGUUUGACACCAGUGUUGUUUUCUCGAAAAUCAAUUAAAAAAGGCAGGAUUUUGUGUUGUAUUGACUUUAUCAGCUUUCUGCACUCUUUUCUUGUCUUUUUUAAUGCACUUUUCGUUUAACAAGUCAACAUCAAUUUCUUUUGUUGUAAAAGGGUCAUUGGAAGGUGGCUUUCUUUUCGGAGAAAGUGUUUAUAGCCUUUGGCCUCUGCAAUCGGAGAGAUUGAGGUCUGCAGCGUAGAUCCUUCGGGGUUAGAUACAUUUGUGCUAAGUUAUAGCCUUUCAUAGACAACUUGUUGACUAUGAUCAGUCAUGUAGCUUACUCGCUUAUGCUAUUUUACCUACGCUUAGGAUGUUGAUGUGAUACUGCGAGCA